AUUGAACGCUGGCGGCAGGCCUAACACAUGCAAGUCGAACGAGUGGCGGACGGGUGAGUAAUGUCUGGGAACCUGCCUGAUGGAGGGGGAUAACUACUGGAAACGGUAGCUAAUACCGCAUACCAUCAGAUGUGCCCAUAUGGGAUUAGCUAGUUGGUGGGGUAACGGCUCACCAAGGCGACGAUCCCUAGCUGGUCUGAGAGGAUGACCAGCCACACUGGGACUGAGACACGGCCCAGACUCCUACGGGAGGCAGCAGUGGGGAAUAUUGCACAAUGGGGGCAACCCUGAUGCAGCCAUGCCGCGUGUAUGAAGAAGGCCUUCGGGUUGUAAAGUACUUUCGGCAGGGAGGCGUUAUCUGCAGAAGAAGCACCGGCUAACUCCGUGCCAGCAGCCGCGGUAAUUC
RNAcentral lists this ribosomal RNA (406 nucleotides) under uncultured bacterium. RNAcentral's name for it is "partial 16S ribosomal RNA". It matches the Rfam family "Bacterial small subunit ribosomal RNA", at positions 30 to 526 of the family's 1533-position model. The record is from RNAcentral.